GACGAACGCUGGCGGCGUGCUUAACACAUGCAAGUCGAACGGUGAAGCGCCUUCCUUUUUGGUGGGUGUGGAUGAGUGGCGAACGGGUGAGUAACACGUGAGUAACCUGCCCCCUUCUUCUGGAUAACCGCAUGAAAGUGUGGCUAAUACGGGAUAUUCUGGGUCUGUCGCAUGAUGGGUCUGGGAAAGAUAUUGUUUCGGUGGGGGAUGGGCUCGCGGCCUAUCAGCUUGUUGGUGGGGUGAUGGCCUACCAAGGCGGUGACGGGUAGCCGGCCUGAGAGGGUGGACGGUCACACUGGGACUGAGACACGGCACAGACUCCUACGGGAGGCAGCAGUGGGGAAUAUUGCACAAUGGGCGCAAGGCUGAUGCAGCGACGCCGCGUGAGGGAUGGAGGCCUUCGGGUUGUGAACCUCUUUCGCCAGUGAAGCAGGCCUGCCUCGUUUGUGGGUGGGUUGACGGUAGCUGGAUAAGAAGCGCCGGCUAACUACGUG
Molecule: ribosomal RNA, 494 nt
Filed under: uncultured bacterium
Lineage: Bacteria
Description: partial 16S ribosomal RNA
Rfam family: Bacterial small subunit ribosomal RNA
Source: RNAcentral